This 305-nucleotide ribosomal RNA is filed under the name uncultured bacterium. Its description in RNAcentral is "bacterial SSU rRNA". It matches the Rfam family "Bacterial small subunit ribosomal RNA", at positions 333 to 630 of the family's 1533-position model. The record is from RNAcentral.
UGAUACCUACGGGGGGCAGCAGUGGGGAAUUUUAGACAAUGGGCGCAAGCCUGAUCCAGCUAUUCCGCGUGUGGGAUGAAGGCCCUCGGGUUGUAAACCACUUUUGUAGAGAACGAAAAGACACCUUCGAAUAAAGGGUGUUGCUGACGGUACUCUAAGAAUAAGCACCGGCUAACUACGUGCCAGCAGCCGCGGUAAUACGUAGGGUGCGAGCGUUAAUCGGAAUUACUGGGCGUAAAGGGUGCGCAGGCGGUUGAGUAAGACAGAUGUGAAAACCCCGAGCUUAACUCGGGAAUGGGAUAUGG